AUGAACGACCUCUUUUGGAAUUGUAGAGGAACAGGUAAAAGAGGGAGAGCUACCUGCUUCUCUGACAUCAUUAGAGACCACUCCCUCGACUUUAUAGGAAUCCUAGAAAUGAAGAAGGAGAAGUUUACACCCAAAUAUCUAAGGAAGAUUGACCCCUUUGAGAGAUUUAACUGGAACUGGACCCCUUCCAUUGGUAAGUCUGGUGGUAUCCUUUGUGUAAUCAGAAAAGAAACCUUGGAUACUGUGUCUUGGGUGGUAGGUAAUUACCUACUACAGGCUACCAUCUAUGAUACUAAACUCAAAUGUGUUUGGACCCUUGUGGUAGUUUAUGGGGCAGCACAUGAUAAGAAGAGGGAUAAAUUCCUUGAUGAGCUAACCUCAUGUUGUGGAAACAUUAAAACUCCUUAUGUGAUUGGUGGUGACUUCAAUAUCCUACGGGAUAGUAGUGACAAAAACAAGCCCCUCCAUAGAUCGCAGCACAUGGAUAGAUUUAACAAUAUCAUCCAUUCACUGAGCCUUAGAGAAAUUCAUAUGGGAGGAGGCAGGUUCACUUGGACCAAUAAAUAG
RNAcentral lists this ribosomal RNA (567 nucleotides) under Triticum aestivum (bread wheat). RNAcentral describes it as "partial small subunit ribosomal RNA". The record is from RNAcentral. Lineage: Eukaryota; Viridiplantae; Streptophyta; Magnoliopsida; Poales; Poaceae.